This 432-nucleotide ribosomal RNA is filed under the name uncultured bacterium. RNAcentral's name for it is "partial 16S ribosomal RNA". It matches the Rfam family "Bacterial small subunit ribosomal RNA", at positions 29 to 507 of the family's 1533-position model. The record is from RNAcentral.
AGCGAACGCUGGCGGCAGGCUUAACACAUGCAAGUCGAGCGGGCCCUUCGGGGUCAGCGGCAGACGGGUGAGUAACACGUGGGAACGUACCCUUUGGUUCGGAAUAACGCUGGGAAACUAGCGCUAAUACCGGAUACGCCCUUUUGGGGAAAGGCUUGCUGCCAAAGGAUCGGCCCGCGUCUGAUUAGCUAGUUGGUGGGGUAAUGGCCUACCAAGGCGACGAUCAGUAGCUGGUCUGAGAGGAUGAUCAGCCACACUGGGACUGAGACACGGCCCAGACUCCAACGGAAGGAAGAAGGGGGGAAAAUUGGAAAAUGGGCGAAAGCCUGAUCCAGCCAGGCGGGGUGAGGAAUAAGGGCCUUAGGGUUGAAAAGCUCUUUUGUCGGGAACGAUAAGAAGGGUACCGAAAGAAAAAGCCCGGGCUACUUCGUG